This 320-nucleotide ribosomal RNA is filed under the name unidentified. RNAcentral describes it as "Chetoneura sp. NB-2020 partial 16S ribosomal RNA". The record is from RNAcentral.
UUUUUUAAUUGAAAGCUUGUAUGAAUGGUUAAAUGAAAUAUAUUCUGUUUUAUAAAAAUUUUUGAAUUUUAUUUUUUAGUUAAAAAGCUAAAAUUAUUUUAUUGGACGAGAAGACCCUAUAAAGUUUAAUAUUUAAAUUAAAUUAAAUAAAUUUUUUAAUUUAAAUAUUUUAUUGGGGAGAUAAUAAAAUUUAAUUAACUUUUAUGUUUAUUACAAUGAUUUUUGAUUAUAUGAUUUAAUUUUAUUAAUUAAAAAAUUAAAUUACUUUAGGGAUAACAGCAUAAUUUUUUUUUUAAGUUCAAAUUUAUAAAAAAGAUUGU